Molecule: ribosomal RNA, 497 nt
Filed under: uncultured bacterium
Lineage: Bacteria
Description: partial 16S ribosomal RNA
Rfam family: Bacterial small subunit ribosomal RNA
Source: RNAcentral
GGUGAACGCUGGCGGCGUGCCUAAUACAUGCAAGUAGAACGCUGAAGGAAGGAGCUUGCUCUUUCCGGAUGAGUUGCGAACGGGUGAGUAACGCGUAGGUAUCCUGCCUGGUAGCGGGGGAUAACUAUUGGAAACGAUAGCUAAUACCGCAUAACAGUAGAUGUUGCAUGACAACUAUUUGAAAGGGGCAAUUGCUCCACUACCAGAUGGACCUGCGUUGUAUUAGCUAGUUGGGGAGGUAACGGCUCACCAAGGCGACGAUACAUAGCCGACCUGAGAGGGUGAUCGGCCACAACGGGAAUGAGGAACGGCCCAGAAUCCUAAGGGAGGCAGCAGUAGGGAAUUUUCGGCAAUGGACGGAAGUCUGACCGAGCAACGACGCGUGAGGGAAGAAGGUUUUCGGAUCGUAAAGCUCUGUUUUAAGAGAAGAACGAGUGUGAGAGUGGAAAGUUCACACUGUGACGGUAUCUUACGAGAAAGGGACGGCUAACUACGUG